CGAAGCCUGGCUUACUGACGCGCCUCAGGUACGGACCGCCGCCUUCUCUACAUUGUAGAUCAGCCACCGUUAGUCAUGACUCAGUGAACGGACCGUGGAGAAAAUGGAAAGUGCUCGCGGCUCGAGACCGUUUCAGCACCACUUCGGCUGGACAGCGCAACAGCUUCUUUUUUUUGCUUCUUCUUCUCUUUUUUUUCUAGACAGGAUCCCGAGGUGGGGGGUUUCUUUUUGAAAUUGCACGAGCGUGCGUGAUGGAGUUCGUCGAACAGGAACAAGCUGCAACAGCAUCAGAUUAACAAGACAUCAAACAUUCCGCUUUGGUCCGAGUCUGAAAAGAUGAUGCGGGAAGUCUUGUAAGCAGCACGCAGUAAAGCAUCCAGCAGCACCGGACAGAACGGAAACUGGAGUACCCAGAGGAAACCUUGGAAGCAGGGGGGGAACAUGCAAACUCCACGCAUGCAGGGCAGAGGUGGGAAUUGAACCCCCAACAUCCCCCAAGAGGUGCAAGGCAAAUAUACAAACCGCUAAGCCACCAUUUUCUGCCAAGGUUUCCUUGAGUUUUUUUUUUGUUGUUGUUCUUAUCCAUUCAUCAUAAUAAAGCAUAAAAAUCUAAAUCUAGUGUUAGACUUUAA
Ictalurus punctatus (channel catfish) is the source of this 632-nucleotide long non-coding RNA. Lineage: Eukaryota; Metazoa; Chordata; Actinopteri; Siluriformes; Ictaluridae. The record is from Ensembl.